This is a long non-coding RNA of Sceloporus undulatus (fence lizard), 336 nucleotides long. RefSeq lists it as uncharacterized. The transcript is spliced from 3 exons. NCBI's taxonomy places the organism in Eukaryota, Metazoa, Chordata, Lepidosauria, Squamata, Phrynosomatidae. The record is from RefSeq and is a predicted model, not a curated record.
UUUUCUCCCAUGAAUUUCUUGCAGAAUGUAGCAAAUAAAUAAAUGAUUCACAUUUAAGAGUGACAAGGACAACUGUAAGUUAAGAUUUCAGAAGAUGCCAUGAAAAUAGAGAAGAUAUUUACAAAAAGGUAUUCCAAGGCCACUGGGGCAACAUCAAUUUGCACGACAGGAAGAAUAGAACAAGGCAGAACAUCAGCUGCCAAUACCAGAGGGCAUUCCAUCAUAAUUCAUUGUAAGUAGAAGAAUGAUUGAAGAAAAAGAAGUAGAAGAGAAGGAUGGAAGACAGGAGAGUGGAGGUUAAGAUGUGUGAAGUAUGAAAGUAGUAGAUAAUAUUGU